GAUGAAGAACGCAGCGAAAUGCGAUAACUAAUGUGAAUUGCAGAAUUCCGUGAAUCAUCGAGUCUUUGAACGCACAUUGCGCCCCCUGGAAUCCCGGGGGGCAUGCCUGUCCGAGCGUCAUUUCUACCCUCGAGCGAGUCCAGCAUCUAGGUGCUGGGCCUCGCCCGGCGUUGGAGCACUACGGGAAGCCCUGUGCUGUCCCCCGUAGGCCCCGAAAUGAAGUGGCGGUCCUGCCGCGGCGCCCCCUGCGUAGUAUAACAGCUCGCUUCGGGACCCGGUGGAGGCCUGCCGUCAAACCUAUACUCUCUAAGUUUGACCUCGGAUCAGGUAGGGUUACCCGCUGAACUUAAGCAUAUCAAUAAGCGGAGGA
RNAcentral lists this unclassified non-coding RNA (370 nucleotides) under soil metagenome. RNAcentral's name for it is "partial contains 5.8S ribosomal RNA, internal transcribed spacer 2, and large subunit ribosomal RNA". The stretch from base 1 to 120 matches the Rfam family "5.8S ribosomal RNA", at positions 35 to 154 of the family's 154-position model. The record is from RNAcentral.